Long non-coding RNA from Leptinotarsa decemlineata (Colorado potato beetle), 626 nucleotides. RefSeq lists it as uncharacterized. NCBI's taxonomy places the organism in Eukaryota, Metazoa, Arthropoda, Insecta, Coleoptera, Chrysomelidae. The record is from RefSeq and is a predicted model, not a curated record.
UGUAUAUAAGUACAUUAAUAAAAGGAGUAUAAACGUGAUCGUACAUGAUUGUAUGUAUAUGUACAUAAAUCUCUCUGAAUACUAUUGAUGUAAUCAGUCUGUAAUACCUAAGUUGAUGGAUAAACUGGUAACUUAUCACUUGGCCUGCAAGAAUGUAAUAAUUCCACAACAUCAUGGUGUCUGUUCAGGUCGAUCUACCAUGACAAAUCCUAUAACGAGUGAACAACAUUUGUUACGUGCUUUGGAGAAAGGUAAUUGGCUUCACAAAUUUUAAGAUGGAGCUGUGUAGUGCUUACAUUCUGAUGUUGGAUGAACAGAUCGUUUCAUAGCGCAGAUAGUUGUAACUGGAUAGAUGUCAAAAGUCAAAAAGACCAUCAACGGAAUGAUUCAUGCACAAUCUCCAAUCACAGAAGAAUUACCACACAAGAACUGAUGAUUGUGGUCCUGUGAGGCGGAAUGAAACAUCAACAUGGAGAUACACUUCUGGAUGGUGUUGGUGGUAGAUCAUAGACAUGAAUGAAACCCUGGGAAUGAAUUUAUUUUACACUGAUGUAAAUAUGUUAUCUUGAUCUAAGUGCGACAUUUUUUCUCAUGUGAAUGAUUGAAAUAAAAGUACAUGAAUUUGU